This 372-nucleotide ribosomal RNA is filed under the name Triticum aestivum (bread wheat). RNAcentral's name for it is "partial small subunit ribosomal RNA". Lineage: Eukaryota; Viridiplantae; Streptophyta; Magnoliopsida; Poales; Poaceae. The record is from RNAcentral.
CAUGCCAGCAUCGACCUGGACGGCUUCCCCAUCGACCACGAGUUCCCGGAGGACUAUGGGCUAGAGGAAGAGGACGAGUGCGACAUCGAAGUGGAGCCUUUGUUCGAGUAUGAGCUCGCCAAACAAACCGCCGGUCCUAAGUCAAAGCGCAAGAGCAAGCGCACGAAGGCGUACAUAGCUGCCGAAGACAAGCUUCUUUACGAGUGUUGGCGAGAUAUUGGACAAGACCCAAAGACGGGCGCCGAGCAAAAGCAUUCGACCUUCUAGACUCGUGUGCACCGCGAGUUUCAUGAUCGCAAGAAGUUUCCACCUUACCAAUUUGUGAGCACGCGCGGGUGGGUCUCCAUUUCCAAGCGGUGGAGGGUGAUCUAA